AGGCCUAAUACAUGCAAGUCGAGGGGUAGAGAGAGCUUGCUUUCUUGAGACCGGCGCACGGGUGCGUAACGCGUAUGCAACCUACCUUUAUCUGGGGGAUAGCCCGGAGAAAUCCGGAUUAAUACCGCAUAAAAUCACAGAAUAGCAUUAUUUAAUGAUCAAACAUUUAUGGGAUGAAGAUGGGCAUGCGUGUCAUUAGCUAGUUGGCGGGGUAACGGCCCACCAAGGCGACGAUGACUAGGGGAUCUGAGAGGAUGGCCCCCCACACUGGUACUGAGACACGGACCAGACUCCUACGGGAGGCAGCAGUAAGGAAUAUUGGUCAAUGGAGGCAACUCUGAACCAGCCAUGCCGCGUGCAGGAAGACUGCCCUAUGGGUUGUAAACUGCUUUUAUCCGGGAAUAAACCUUUCUACGUGUAGGAAGCUGAAUGUACCGGAAGAAUAAGGAUCGGCUAACUCCGUGCCAGCAGCCGCGGUAAUACGGAGGAUCCAAGCGUUAUCCGGAUUUAUUGGGUUUAAAGGGUGCGUAGGCGGCCUGUUAAGUCAGGGGUGAAAGACGGUAGCUCAACUAUCGCAGUGCCCUUGAUACUGAUGGGCUUGAAUGGACUAGAGGUAGGCGGAAUGAGACAAGUAGCGGUGAAAUGCAUAGAUAUGUCUCAGAACACCGAUUGCGAAGGCAGCUUACUAUGGUCUUAUUGACGCUGAGGCACGAAAGCGUGGGGAUCAAACAGGAUUAGAUACCCUGGUAGUCCACGCCCUAAACGAUGAACACUCGCUGUUGGCGAUACACAGUCAGCGGCUAAGCGAAAGCGUUAAGUGUUCCACCUGGGGAGUACGCCCGCAAGGGUGAAACUCAAAGGAAUUGACGGGGGCCCGCACAAGCGGAGGAGCAUGUGGUUUAAUUCGAUGAUACGCGAGGAACCUUACCCGGGCUUGAAAGUUAGUGAAUGAUCUAGGGAUAGAUCAGUGAGCAAUCACACGAAACUAGGUGCUGCAUGGCUGUCGUCAGCUCGUGCCGUGAGGUGUUGGGUUAAGUCCCGCAACGAGCGCAACCCCUAUGUUUAGUUGCCAGCAUGUAAUGAUGGGGACUCUAAACAGACUGCCUGUGCAAACAGAGAGGAAGGAGGGGACGACGUCAAGUCAUCAUGGCCCUUACGUCCGGGGCUACACACGUGCUACAAUGGAUGGUACAGAGGGCAGCUAGCUGGCAACAGUAUGCGAAUCUCACAAAGCCAUUCACAGUUCGGAUUGGGGUCUGCAACUCGACCCCAUGAAGUUGGAUUCGCUAGUAAUCGCGUAUCAGCAAUGACGCGGUGAAUACGUUCCCGGGCCUUGUACACACCGCCCGUCAAGCCAUGGAAGUUGGGGGUACCUAAAGUAUGUAACCGCAAGGAGCGUCCUAGGGUAAAACCGAUAACUGGGGCUAAGUCGU
This 1433-nucleotide ribosomal RNA is filed under the name uncultured organism. Its description in RNAcentral is "SSU rRNA". It matches the Rfam family "Bacterial small subunit ribosomal RNA". The record is from RNAcentral.